CUUAAACUUUCUGGGCUUACAAGACCCAGGGGCACGUCAGCUCCUUAGAUGGGCUCAGCCUGACACAUAAUUCUUAAACCUUUCCUGUUUAAGAAACUUCUAGAGGCUGUGUACUCUCACCAAUCCUCUUCGAGAAUUUGUUCAUGUGUAUUUCCCCAUUAUAUGGAUGAGGCUCAGGAUAACAGCAUAGUGGCUACCUUCUACUGAGUUUUGAGGUGCUAAUAAGUAUGUUUGUCUGAGGCUGCACAUGUGGGUGGCUCUGUGUGUAUGAUCCAAGGGACAAAAUGACGAUGUAGGAACCAGCAAGAACGGAAUCUGGGCUGAUGCUUCAGUCUCCACCUGGGUGAUGGCUAGCCUCCCGCCCUCCACCACCGCAUCCCACACGUGCUGCGCACUGUCCCCGUGUCUCCUGGAGAACCAAACUGGAGAAAACCUUUCUGAGUAUCUCUCAUAGUACCCCUUCCUUAAGAAGAUGUGGUUUAGAGCAUGUGUGCAAUCCUGCCUCUGUAAUUAGGAAACGGAGCCCGAGGCUUUCCAUUGUUGGUUGAACCCAGGACAGCUGGUGCUAUUCACAGGCUGAAGAACUGGGCAGUUCUUACUUGGGUCUGUCCUAGGAUGUGGAGGAAGUUCAGGACUAACGCUAGGCAGAGAGUAUGACUCGGUUUACCCAGCCUAGGGGCCUCUGGAUGGGAACACUCCAUUCCAAGAUCUCAGCAGAGCAGGGCUUCCUGGCUUGAGGCUGGAAGCCUUUGGGAAGAGGCCCAGCUGGGACAUUCCCUGGGCACCUGUCUUCCGCUGAAGGGAGCAAGGUGCCCUCUGGGACUGACAGCCAUGACCCUCUGUGCCAUCCUCAAUCCUUGAGCCAUAUAUCAAGAGUCCUCUAGAGCCGGAUGGUCCUCAAAAGUCUGUCCAAGGAAUGCCAACGUUCACCGGGCUCUGAGAAACGACGCAAAUCUCUGAGCUGGGGACCACUUGGAGAACCGGCUUAGUAACAGUCCUGAUCUUCGCAAGCCAGCUUCUUCUGCAUCUGAGGGGCUCCUGGCGCCCAGAGGAGGCAGACAGAUGUCUUCUAGCUGAGUUUCUAACCGCAUGAUGAGACUCAGACCUUCCGCUGCACUAGAAAAUCUGCAACAGUGUCCCUGAGUCACUUCUCCUUAGUGGGCAGACUCGUGUUAGAUUUGUGGAACCCAGCUCUCUGAUUUACUCCUUUUGGAAAACCCAUGGAAUUUCAUGUAUAAGGCUUUCAUUUGUAUUUUAAGGUUUUUCUGUUUGUUUUGAGUAUAUACAUGGUGCUCAAUAGCAACAUCUUAGCAGAUGAAGCAGUUUAUGAUUCCACUCCCUCCUGUAUGACAGGUAGCCACUAUACUGAAUCAAGGUGCUGAACUCAAAUCACAAAAUUCUGGCUUACCGAUACAACAACCAAUACAUCUUUGUUCUGUAAUGUAAAAUUUGACUCCUUACUUUUAUAACUUAUUAAAGUUAAAAUGUCUGU
Molecule: long non-coding RNA, 1492 nt
Filed under: Homo sapiens (human)
Lineage: Eukaryota; Metazoa; Chordata; Mammalia; Primates; Hominidae
Description: non-protein coding lnc-GRM6-4:2
Source: RNAcentral